CUGACGAGUCCCAAACAGGACGAAACAGCUGUC
This is a non-coding RNA of Echinostoma caproni, 33 nucleotides long. NCBI's taxonomy places the organism in Eukaryota, Metazoa, Platyhelminthes, Trematoda, Plagiorchiida, Echinostomatidae. The record is from Rfam.